Molecule: ribosomal RNA, 402 nt
Filed under: uncultured eukaryote
Lineage: Eukaryota
Description: SSU rRNA
Rfam family: Eukaryotic small subunit ribosomal RNA
Source: RNAcentral
CAAUAGCGUAUAUUAAAGUUGUUGCGGUUAAAAAAAGCUCGUAGUUGGAUUUCUGCCGAGGACGACCGGUCCGCCCUCUGGGUGAGUAUCUGGUUCGGCCUGGGCAUCUUCUUGGAGAACGUAUCUGCACUUGACUGUGUGGUGCGGUAUCCAGGACUUUUACUUUGAGGAAAUUAGAGUGUUUCAAGCAGGCACACGCCUUGAAUACAUUAGCAUGGAAUAAUAAGAUAGGACCUUGGUUCUAUUUUGUUGGUUUCUAGAGCUGAGGUAAUGAUUAAUAGGGAUAGUUGGGGGCAUUCGUAUUUAACUGUCAGAGGUGAAAUUCUUGGAUUUCCCGAAAAAGCGAACUACUGCGAAAGCAUUUACCCAAAGGAUGUUUUCAUUAAAUCAAGAACGAAAGUU